Molecule: unclassified non-coding RNA, 332 nt
Filed under: uncultured fungus
Lineage: Eukaryota; Fungi
Description: sequence contains ITS2
Rfam family: 5.8S ribosomal RNA (bases 1-52)
Source: RNAcentral
AACGCACCUUGCACCCUUUGGUAUUCCAAAGGGUAUGCCUGUUUGAGUGUCAUUAAUCCCUCAAUCACAACAAGCUUGUGUUUGUGCAUUGGAUAUUGAAGGUUGCUGGCCCGAAACCGUGGUUAGCUCCUUUUAAAUGCAUUAGUUGAACUCUUGCAAAUUCAGCUUCAGCUUCAGUUUGAUAAAGAUUAUUUUUUGUCUAUGCUGCUGCCGAGGGAAAAACUGUGUUUGUCAGUUCAGCUUUCCAAACUGUCCUUAGGACUAUCUUUUAAAGAUAAAAAAAACUUUGACCAUUUGACCUCAAAUCAGGUAGGACUACCCGCUGAACUUAA